AUGGCACCAAUCCGCCGGUUCUCUGCAGAAGAGAAGGGAAAGGCCCCUCGAGAGGGUCCUGACCCGCUUCCACCAAAGAAGCGGCUAGUCCUCUGCCGCCGAGAUGAGGGCACGCGGCAGGAGGCAUCAAGGUACGAGCGGCCGGCACCGGGGUUCCUGCUGCCCUUGUACGCCCGCAUUGAGGGCUCUGGAGAAGAGAGCACCGAGCGACACCGACAGUGUCGCCAUCGACGCCGGCGGGUCACGACGGUGCGCGUCGUUCCUCCUGGAGUCCACGCCGAGGGCUCCUCUCGCGAGCUUGUGCUCCACGCCGCCAUGCCUCCCCGAUCUUGGAUUCACCUUCCUCCCUCCUUCGCCUUCGAGAUCCUGCCGAGGGGACCUCUUGAGCUCUAG
This 393-nucleotide ribosomal RNA is filed under the name Triticum aestivum (bread wheat). RNAcentral's name for it is "partial small subunit ribosomal RNA". The record is from RNAcentral. Lineage: Eukaryota; Viridiplantae; Streptophyta; Magnoliopsida; Poales; Poaceae.